GGUCAAGCGAACAAGUGCAUGUGGUGGAUGCCUUGGCGAUCACAGGCGAUGAAGGACGCGGUAGCCUGCGAAAAGCUACGGGGAGCUGGCAAACGAGCUUUGAUCCGUAGAUGUCCGAAUGGGGAAACCCACUCCUUUUGGAGUAUCCAUGGCUGAAUACAUAGGCCAUGUGAAGCGAACGCGGUGAACUGAAACAUCUAAGUAACCGCAGGAAAAGAAAUCAACCGAGAUUCCCAAAGUAGUGGCGAGCGAAAUGGGAUGAGCCUUGCACUCUUUAUUUGUAUUGUUAGCCGAACGCUCUGGAAAGUGCGGCCAUAGCAGGUGAUAGCCCUGUAGGCGAAAACAGUAUGAAAGAACUAGGUGUGCGACAAGUAGGGCGGGACACGUGAAAUCCUGUCUGAAGAUGGGGGGACCAUCCUCCAAGGCUAAAUACUCGUGAUCGACCGAUAGUGAACCAGUACCGUGAGGGAAAGGCGAAAAGAACCCCGGGAGGGGAGUGAAAUAGAUCCUGAAACCGCAUGCAUACAAACAGUCGGAGCCUCG
This 543-nucleotide ribosomal RNA is filed under the name Burkholderia cenocepacia. RNAcentral describes it as "partial 23S ribosomal RNA". It matches the Rfam family "Bacterial large subunit ribosomal RNA", at positions 1 to 584 of the family's 2925-position model. Lineage: Bacteria; Pseudomonadati; Pseudomonadota; Betaproteobacteria; Burkholderiales; Burkholderiaceae. The record is from RNAcentral.